Molecule: ribosomal RNA, 253 nt
Filed under: uncultured bacterium
Lineage: Bacteria
Description: partial 16S ribosomal RNA
Rfam family: Bacterial small subunit ribosomal RNA
Source: RNAcentral
UACGAGGGGUCCUAGCGUUGUUCGGAAUCAUUGGGCGUAAAGAGUAUGUAGGCGGCCAGAUAAGUCAGGUGUGAAAUCCCCGGGCUCAACCCGGGAAGUGCAUUUGAUACUGUCUGGCUUGAGUAUGGAAGAGGGUAGUGGAAUUCCUGGUGUAGUGGUGAAAUACGUAGAUAUCAGGAGGAACACCGGUGGCGAAGGCGGCUACCUGGUCCUAUACUGACGCUGAGAUACGAAAGCGUGGGGAGCAAACAGG